Molecule: long non-coding RNA, 567 nt
Organism: Vespula vulgaris
Lineage: Eukaryota; Metazoa; Arthropoda; Insecta; Hymenoptera; Vespidae
Exons: 2
Source: RefSeq, a predicted model, not a curated record
AAGAAUUAUUAAAGUUGUGAGAACAUAAAAAUAAAAACAAAAUAAAAAAAAAGUAGAGAAUUACUAUACAGCUUUAUUUAUUAAUGAAAACAAUUCGAUGAAGCACUGCUACUUCCACUCCAAAACCUUGGUCUUGAACAAAAUUGUAACCUCAAUAUAGAUUCGACUACGAUCGUGACCAUAAUUUGGCAGGAGAAUCAAAUCGAGAUCUUGAUACUUAUUUUGAUUUUGAUCGAGAUUUUGACUUAGAAGAAUUUCUCGAUUGAGGUGAUUCAGAUCUUGAUUUCGAUUUAUUGUGUGAUUUAGAUAGAUAAUUUGAAUUUGAUUACGAGCGAAGAGAAUGAAACGAAUUUAUAUAUCGAACGAGAAUGUGACGUGGAUUUCAAACUAGAUUUAGAAGAUACCGUUAAAUGAAGACGAAAUUAUGCUGAAAGCACGAGAGAUGAUUUAAAUGAUGCAUGCGGACUACUUUCAUUUUCAGAACCAGCUAAACUAGUAUAAUUAUAAUUAUCAGAUAAAAAUUGUAAAGUUAAAAAUAUAUAUAACCUUUUUCUUUUGCUUUUUCAA